This 264-nucleotide unclassified non-coding RNA is filed under the name Hevea brasiliensis (rubber tree). The record is from RNAcentral. Lineage: Eukaryota; Viridiplantae; Streptophyta; Magnoliopsida; Malpighiales; Euphorbiaceae.
CUGAUUUCAAGAUGAGAAAAAUAUUUAAAAGAAAAAAAAAAAUGAAAGUUAGUAGUGAUCAUGGCAUGUGUUUUGUUUACUUUAACUUCAUUCUUUUUCUCAGUUUGGUAUUAGAUUGUUUUCUAGUCUCUCCAUCAAGAGAAAAUCAUGGGUUAUCAAGAAAAAUAUUUUUACAGAAUGAACUCAAAUUGAAUGAAUGAACUACAUACCUUCAAUGUAAGAUUUGAAGAAAUCCUUGUAAGUCCCUCCAAUUUUCCUUCUAAG